This 443-nucleotide ribosomal RNA is filed under the name uncultured bacterium. RNAcentral's name for it is "partial 16S ribosomal RNA". It matches the Rfam family "Bacterial small subunit ribosomal RNA", at positions 338 to 795 of the family's 1533-position model. The record is from RNAcentral.
CCUACGGGUGGCAGCAGUGGGGAAUAUUGGGCAAUGGGCGAAACUCUGACCCAGCAACGCCGCGUGAAUGAAGAAGGUCUUCGGGUUGUAAACUUCUUUUCUAAGGGACGAAGAAAGUGACGGUACCUUAGGAAUAAGCCUCGGCUAACUACGUGCCAGCAGCCGCGGUAAUACGUAGGUGGCAAGCGUUAUCCGGAAUGACUGGGCGUAAAGGGUGCGUAGGCGGGUUGGCAAGUAAGAUGCGAAAGCCAUGGGCUCAACCCAGGCACUGCAUCUGAAACUGUCUUACUUGAGUGCAGGAGAGGCAAACGGAAUUCCGAGUGUAGCGGUGAAAUGCGUAGAUAUUAGGAGGAACACCAGUGGCGAAGGCGAUUUGCUGGACUGUAACUGACGCUGAGGCACGAAAGCGUGGGGAGCAAACAGGAUUAGAUACCCGUGUAGUC